UACGUAGGGUGCGAGCGUUAAUCGGAAUUACUGGGCGUAAAGCGUGCGCAGGCGGUUCUGAAAGUCAGCUGUGAAAGCCCCGGGCUUAACCUGGGAAUUGCGGUUGAAACUACAGGGCUAGAAUCUGGCAGAGGGGGGUGGGAUUCCACGUGUAGCAGUGAAAUGCGUAGAGAUGUGGAGGAACACCGAUGGCGAAGGCAGCCCCCUGGGCUGAGAUUGACGCUCAGGCACGAAAGCGUGGGGAGCAAACAGG
Molecule: ribosomal RNA, 253 nt
Filed under: uncultured bacterium
Lineage: Bacteria
Description: partial 16S ribosomal RNA
Rfam family: Bacterial small subunit ribosomal RNA
Source: RNAcentral